UCUAGCUUUAUUCAACAUCCUGAUUUUAUAUCCACAUCAGUACAGGUUCGUAUACAUAAAGAAAAACCGUAAUCGUGCUCCAUUACCAGCAGUAUUUAAAGGAUACACAUUUGCCUUAAACAUAAAGCCCACAUGCUCGAUCAUAGUCAUCAAUUCCCAAUAUGAGGUAACAGAGAGUACAGGACAGAUACAUCAAAGGUAAUUAAAAGUUUUCAAAUCCCUUGCACUUAUCAAAUCACAAAACACACACACACAUAUACGUAUAUAUACUGAUUAAAUGAUCAAACCACCUCCUUGGUGGGCGGCGCAGGAUUCUUGAGGUCGUCGGCGGUCAUUGCAGGGAUCGAAACGUACCCCAACUUCUUCUUGGUGGCGGCGACAUGGUCAUCCUCAUCGUCAGAAACAUCGUCGAAAUCAAAACGGCCGGGGGAAAAGAGGGCCCACAAGAAGUACAUUAUGGCCCCGGUGAGGGCCCCACAGCCGACGCCGAAGAGCAGCGCGCCAACCACGCUCAUGAUAUCCUUGGUCCGGUCGCGAAUGGAGCUCGAAACGGUGGAAUAGAAUUUGAGGGGAAAACCGGAUGACGUCAUCACUGGAGAUGAUGACUGAGAGUCACCGUUGGAGGAGAGAUCGGAUUUGAAAUUAACUGAAUGACGGUGGUUAGGGAAGGGUUUGGGGGCGGUGGAGGUGAAGAUGAAGGUGACAUAGCGGGGAUUUUGGCUGCGGAGGGAGGAAUUGGGGUUAGGGUUUGCAGGGAGCGAGUGGUAAGGAUAAUAGGUGGUGGUGGUCGUGGUGGUCGUAGCGGAGAAAUAGAAAAAGGUCUUACAGGGGCGGGCGGAGGAGGUGGCUGCGAGAAGGGAGAGGAGGAGGAGGAGCAACGGUUGAGCCGAGAUCGCCAUUUCCAAGAGAGAGAAUCUCGUGAGGAAAGAUGAAAGACUUUCUUUUUGAAGGAGAGACGAAAGACGAAAGAUGAAAAAUGAAAAGUGCGAGUUGCCUCUUGUAAGGUAAUCCCCUAAAAU
This 1019-nucleotide long non-coding RNA is filed under the name Salvia miltiorrhiza (redroot sage). RNAcentral describes it as "long non-coding RNA (SMIL_LNC005507)". The record is from RNAcentral. Lineage: Eukaryota; Viridiplantae; Streptophyta; Magnoliopsida; Lamiales; Lamiaceae.